Molecule: ribosomal RNA, 497 nt
Filed under: uncultured bacterium
Lineage: Bacteria
Description: partial 16S ribosomal RNA
Rfam family: Bacterial small subunit ribosomal RNA
Source: RNAcentral
GACGAACGCUGGCGGCGUGCCUAAUACAUGCAAGUUGAGCGCUGAAGGUUGGUACUUGUACCAACUGGAUGAGCAGCGAACGGGUGAGUAACGCGUGGGGAAUCUGCCUUUGAGCGGGGGACAACAUUUGGAAACGAAUGCUAAUACCGCAUAAAAACUUUAAACACAAGUUUUAAGUUUGAAAGAUGCAAUUGCAUCACUCAAAGAUGAUCCCGCGUUGUAUUAGCUAGUUGGUGAGGUAAAGGCUCACCAAGGCGAUGAUACAUAGCCGACCUGAGAGGGUGAUCGGCCACAUUGGGACUGAGACACGGCCCAAACUCCUACGGGAGGCAGCAGUAGGGAAUCUUCGGCAAUGGACGAAAGUCUGACCGAGCAACGCCGCGUGAGUGAAGGAGGUUUUCGGAUCGUAAAACUCUGCUGGUAGAGAAGAACGUUGGUGAGAGUGGAAAGCUCAUCAAGUGACGGUAACUACCCAGAAAGGGACGGCUAACUACGUG